GGGUCAGGAGGUUGGUCGUGCCACCGGUACGUACUGGUCUCACUGAUUCCUCCUUCCUGAAGAACCGUAAUGCCAUUAAUUUGGUGUUGCGGGGAAACAGGACUGUUACUUUGAAAAAAUUAGAGUGUUUAAAGCAAGCUAACGCUUGAAUACACUAGCAUGGAAUAAUGAAAUAGGACGAUCGAUCCUAUUUUGUUGGUUUCUAGGAUUGACGUA
Molecule: ribosomal RNA, 216 nt
Filed under: Glomeromycotina sp.
Lineage: Eukaryota; Fungi; Glomeromycota
Description: partial small subunit ribosomal RNA
Rfam family: Eukaryotic small subunit ribosomal RNA (bases 40-216)
Source: RNAcentral